GACGAACGCUGGCGGCGUGCCUAACACAUGCAAGUCGAACGGAAAGGCCCUGCUUUUGUGGGGUGCUCGAGUGGCGAACGGGUGUGUAACACGUGAGUAACCUGCCCUUGACUUUGGGAUAACUUCAGGAAACUGGGGCUAAUACCGGAUAGGAGCUCCUGAUGCAUGGUGGGGGUUGGAAAGUUUCGGCGGUUGGGGAUGGACUCGCGGCUUAUCAGCUUGUUGGUGGGGUAGUGGCUUACCAAGGCUUCGACGGGUAGCCGGCCUGAGAGGGUGACCGGCCACAUUGGGACUGAGGUACGGCCCAGACUGCUACGGGAGGCAGCAGUGGGGAAUAUUGCACAAUGGGCGGAAGCCUGAUGCAGCAACGCCGCGUGCGGGAUGACGGCCUUCGGGUUGUAAACCGCUUUCGCCUGUGACGAAGCGUGAGUGACGGUAAUGGGUAAAGAAGCACCGGCUAACUACGUG
RNAcentral lists this ribosomal RNA (468 nucleotides) under uncultured bacterium. RNAcentral describes it as "partial 16S ribosomal RNA". It matches the Rfam family "Bacterial small subunit ribosomal RNA", at positions 28 to 507 of the family's 1533-position model. The record is from RNAcentral.